This 69-nucleotide transfer RNA is filed under the name Laomedia healyi. RNAcentral describes it as "tRNA-Gln". Lineage: Eukaryota; Metazoa; Arthropoda; Malacostraca; Decapoda; Laomediidae. The record is from RNAcentral.
UAUGUGGUGGUGUAAAGUGCACGAAAAGUUUUGAUCUUUUAUGUGGUGGUGUAAUUCCAUCCCAUGUAG